UACAGAGGGUGCAAACGUUGCUCGGAAUUACUGGGCGUAAAGCGCGUGUAGGUGGAUUGGUGUGUCAGAUGUGAAAUCCCUGGGCUCAACCCAGGAACUGCACCUGAAACUACCAGUCUUGAGUGGUGGAGAGGAGACUGGAAUUCAUGGUGUAGCAGUGAAAUGCGUAGAGAUCAUGAGGAAGACCAGUGGCGAAGGCGGGUCUCUGGACAGUUCCUGACACUGAGACACGAAGGCCAGGGGAGCAAACGGG
RNAcentral lists this ribosomal RNA (253 nucleotides) under uncultured bacterium. Its description in RNAcentral is "partial 16S ribosomal RNA". It matches the Rfam family "Bacterial small subunit ribosomal RNA", at positions 524 to 776 of the family's 1533-position model. The record is from RNAcentral.